RNAcentral lists this ribosomal RNA (412 nucleotides) under uncultured bacterium. RNAcentral describes it as "bacterial SSU rRNA". It matches the Rfam family "Bacterial small subunit ribosomal RNA", at positions 917 to 1333 of the family's 1533-position model. The record is from RNAcentral.
GGGCCCGCACAAGCGGUGGAGCAUGUGGUUUAAUUCGAUGAUACGCGAGGAACCUUACCAGGGUUUAAAUGUAGAAUGACCGGGGUGGAAACACCCCUUUCUUCGGACAGACUACAAGGUGCUGCAUGGUUGUCGUCAGCUCGUGCUGUGAAGUGUCGGGUUAAGUCCCAUAACGAGCGCAACCCCCAUUUCUAGUUGCCAGCGGUUCGGCCGGGGACUCUAGAGAAACUGCCAGCGUAAGCUGUGAGGAAGGUGGGGAUGACGUCAAAUCAUCACGGCCCUUACAUCCUGGGCCACACACGUGCUACAAUGGUAGGGACAACAGGUUGCCAACCCGCGAGGGUGAGCCAAUCCCAAAACCCUAUCUCAGUUCGGAUCGGAGUCUGCAACUCGACUCCGUGAAGUUGGAAUC